Molecule: long non-coding RNA, 304 nt
Organism: Sphaerodactylus townsendi
Lineage: Eukaryota; Metazoa; Chordata; Lepidosauria; Squamata; Sphaerodactylidae
Exons: 3
Source: RefSeq, a predicted model, not a curated record
CCCCCAUAAAAAACCUAUACAUACGUCCCUGAGCCCUACUCCUUCCAAGCUGCAAUCUCCAACUGCAGAUUUCACCACUCAAACAUCACAGGGAUUCCACCUGCCGUGACUUCUGUCAAUACAGCAAUAUAUUUGUGGUAUGAAAAAGAGAUGUCUCCCUCUGGAAUUGCAUUGAAGCCUCAGUUUGCUACCAAGGUGAUAUCCUCACUGGCGAUUAAUCCUGGGCUAGUCACCUGAAAUAUCCAGCUUCCCUCAAGAUCUCUUCACAGCUGAACCGUGAAACACAGAUCAGUCCUGUUUCUGG